GUUUCACAACGGUCAUAUUUUUCUCUCUCCUCCGUGUUCAUGUCUUUUCCUCCAUCUCUCUAAGUUCCCAUCUCUGUUUCUCUCUUCCAAUGGACGAAUGGCAGAAGAUGGAUGGAGAGUAUCAAGACUCACAUAGUCUCCUAAUAAACCCUUCUCGCCUUUCUCUCUGUUGUUCCACUUGUCGAACCAGAAGGGCAAUAAUCUCUCUCCCUACUCGCUUUCUUUCCUCAUUUUCCAUUUUUUAGGGUUAAAAAUAAGAUUGACAUUUCCAAGGUGGACGACGGGGAAGUCCUGUAUUCGAGUCUCUCAGCCAUGUCUCUGAAACAUGAAAAAACUCUAACACAAGCUCCGGCGAAGACCGCAGCUGUGAUCGAGAAGAGACCACUUUACAGGAGGUCAUAGGUCCAACACAGAACCCCUUCAGACUAUGAUUCACUGCAAAUCCGGCGCAUCUGGCUUUGGCUCCCGCGAUUGAAGCCUGAAGCAGGGGUGGGGGAUGGUAAAGAGGAUUCAGCAGUUGGCAUUCAUAACUCAGUUGAAGUCAUGCACCUAUGGAUAUUGGAAAGAGUGUCCUAAAAGGCCAUCUUCAGUGUACAUUUGAGCACCAUUGCCUGCUCCAUACACUAUGGUUCUUCACCCACCCUGAUUUCUAUUUUAGGUUGGGGGUGGGGGUGGAGUCCACUAAGGAAGUGAAGAAAGUAGCAGAGCAUGCCCUGUUUUCGUCAAACAAUGAUCACAUUGUGAGCUUGAUCGCACAGAACUGUAAUUUGAUGUUCCCAAUUAAUUUGGAGCCAAUGGAGAUGAACAUAAAGAGCCAUUGGAAUCAGGCUGUUCAUGGGCCUCAUUCAAUGUGGGAAAGAUGUUCCUUGAGAUGGAUGACGAGCUUUCCAAGAGUGCCAAAGGUAGUACCAAGAGAAAGUGGCCAAUGCCAAAUAAUUAGAAAAACAGCAUUAGUUGACAUGGAAGAGACUGGAAGAGAGGACAUGGUUUUGAUAAACUGAUAUAGUUGGGUGCCUUGUCGAUGUGUGUGAAGUGAUUUGAACCACUAAUUUUGUGUCUUGAAAGCAUUAUAAUGAUACGAUUAAAAUUAUCAAUCUAA
This is a long non-coding RNA of Macadamia integrifolia, 1099 nucleotides long. RefSeq lists it as uncharacterized. NCBI's taxonomy places the organism in Eukaryota, Viridiplantae, Streptophyta, Magnoliopsida, Proteales, Proteaceae. The transcript is spliced from 4 exons. The record is from RefSeq and is a predicted model, not a curated record.